CAUGCCUUAAAAAUGGAAUUUAAUAAACGGAUGAAAUUCAUGAACUCAAUUUCGUAGUCAAAAUAACCUAAAAAGUACAUACCCCUGCAGGGUUCAUCAGAAGUAUACUGUAAAGUACCAUUAAAUAUAAAAGAUACCAUAAAUCAUGAGUGAGUGAACGAACUUAACUAAAUUCUCAUUGUAUUGAUCCCAGAGGAAUAGGCGGCUUCCACCGACGGGGCCCAACCAUGAAGCAAUUAUAUAAGGGUCUAGUCGGCCAAAUUUCUUCCCUAACAAUGUUGUCAAUAAGUGCGACUGAAGGGGCACUGCGCUGUAAGUGUAAGUAAAACGACAAUGGUGUGUGCUGAUUGGAGAAAAGGAUUUCAAAUUUUCUUUAUUAUUUUGAUUUUUAAUAAUUUACUUCUUGAAAGUUGUCGUUACUAUUGAUUUUAUACCCGGUACUCGAAGAAUAAAUGGGGUAUAUUGUAUUUGUGCGAAUAACGGUUGUAUUUAACGCACAGAAGGAAAAGUUUCCGACCCCAUAAAGUAUAUACAUAUAUUCUUGAUCAGCAUCAAUAGCCGAGUCGAUAGAGCCAUGUCUGUCCGUCCGUCUUGUUUGUCGGCUAGUUCUCAGAGACUAUAAGAGCUAGAGCCACCAAAUUUUGGCUCCGGACUGCUGUAUGCUCACACUGAAACCAGUGUGUUUCAAAAAUUAGCUCCGCCCCCUUCCGCCUCCGCAAAAGGGCGAAAACCUUCAAAACCUACAGUUUUGAGAAUAAAAGAAAAUUUAUUCCGUAGGGAAUAAACAUAUCUAUCAGAUCACCAAAUUGGGAUCCGAUUGAAUCAUUAUUAUAGCCACAAUGGAGAAAUUAAUUUCCAGUGGCUAAACCCACCCUGUCCCGAAGCUUUUGUUGCUCUUUUUACAUUCUCUAAUUCACACUCUGCUUCUGCUUCACUCGGCCCUGCCUCUGCCCACCCCCUGCUGAUGCCACUACCGACUUUUAGCCCACCCCGUCCCGCAGGUAAAGGAGCGUGUUGGUGUGAGAUUGUAGAUGUAGAUGACAGAUGAAGAAAAAAUUUAAAAUUUGACAAAACACCGCUAAGGUGCAGAUGUAGUACUGAGUGGCGGGUAUAAAAGUUGUGACUCGUGAAAAGCGUCUCACUCGUCCCUUCUCGUUUUUUUUUUGUUGUGCGUGAGCUGCCUGUGCCUCUGCCGUGAGUUUGCAGUGUGUGGGUCCAGGGGCGAGCUAACGGAACGUGUUGGUGUAAGAAUUGUUGUAGAUGUAGAUGACAGAUGAAGAAAAAAUUACAAAUUUGACAAAUAACCGCUAAGGUACAGAUGUAGUACUGAGUGCCGGGUAUAAGAGUUAUGACGCCUAAGAAGCGUCUCACACGUCCCUUCUCGUUUUUUUGUUGUUAUUUAAUCGCUACAGCGAAAUUGGAUGGUCGCAUGACGAUGAGUCUGCAUUGACCAGGUACUUCAGUUUAUGUUGGGGGAAUAAUCGGAAAAAAAUAUUUUGUACUGAAAAUUUUGAACUUAAAAAGAGUUGUUUGUCGAACAAAGUGGAGUGAGAAAUAGACUUGCAACUUUAAAUUUUUCUCAAGGAAUUUUAGUUAUACCUGGUACUCGAAGAGUAAAGGAGUAUUUGUGCACAAAAGUGUAUGUAUAUACAUAUGUAACGCACAGAAGAAAACGUUCCCGACCCCAUAUUCUUGAUUAGUAUCAAUGGCCGAGUGUAUACCUGCCUGUCUGUCAGAGACUAUUCUAUUUAGUCUUCCAGUACCGGGUAUAAAAAGUUUUUUUUGGUUCCAAGCGGAAAAAUGGUGCCAGUUUUCCUGUUUAAGUGCAAAUUAUGCGAAAAGGAAAAUUUUUUGCUUUUCUCGCGAAAUAUUUAAUAUGUUUUAUACUCUAUUAGUUUACAUCUAAGAGAAUUGGGAUUUACAUGUAUUACAAGUCAUCGGAGGGUGGGUACCGCCUCCAUUUCAUAGCUUAGGUUUCUAAGCCUAUUAACAAUAAUGCAAUUACUUCUUAAUUGCCGCUAACAGGUUGACGG
This 2033-nucleotide long non-coding RNA is filed under the name Drosophila guanche. The record is from RNAcentral. Lineage: Eukaryota; Metazoa; Arthropoda; Insecta; Diptera; Drosophilidae.